This 643-nucleotide ribosomal RNA is filed under the name uncultured bacterium. Its description in RNAcentral is "bacterial SSU rRNA". It matches the Rfam family "Bacterial small subunit ribosomal RNA", at positions 202 to 842 of the family's 1533-position model. The record is from RNAcentral.
CAAAGGAGAGAUCCGGUACCGGCUGGGCAUGCGGCGCAUUAGCUAGUUGGCGGGGCAACGGCCCACCAAGGCGACGAUGCGUAGGGGUUCUGAGAGGAAGGUCCCCCACACUGGAACUGAGACACGGUCCAGACACCUACGGGAGGCAGCAGUGAGGAAUAUUGGUCCAUGGGCGCAAGCCUGAACCAGCCAAGUCGCGUGAGGGAAGACGGCCCUACGGGUUGUAAACCUCUUUUGCCGGGGAGCAAGCCUGAGCACGUGUGCCCAGGCGGAGAGUACCCGGAGAAAAAGCAUCGGCUAACUCCGUGCCAGCAGCCGCGGUAAUACGGAGGAUGCGAGCGUUAUCCGGAUUUAUUGGGUUUAAAGGGUGCGCAGGCGGGCUGUUAAGCCGGCGGUAAAAAUUCAGGGCUCAACCCUGUCGAGCCGUCGGAACUGGCAGUCUUGAGUGGGCGAGAAGUAUGCGGAAUGCGUGGUGUAGCGGUGAAAUGCAUAGAUAUCACGCAGAACGCCGAUUGCGAAGGCAGCAUACCGGCGCCCAACUGACGCUGAGGCACGAAAGCGUGGGGAUCGAACAGGAUUAGAUACCCUGGUAGUCCACGCAGUAAACGAUGAGCGCUAACUGUCCGGAGCGAGCGAGCUCUGG